GUGGGGAAUAUUGGACAAUGGGCGCAAGCCUGAUCCAGCCAUGCCGCGUGAGUGAUGAAGGCCUUAGGGUUGUAUAGCUCUUUCGCCCGCGAAGAUAAUGACGGUAGCGGGAGAAGAAGCCCCGGCUAACUUCGUGCCAGCAGCCGCGGUAAUACGAAGGGGGCUAGCGUUGUUCGGAAUCACUGGGCGUAAAGCGCACGUAGGCGGACGUUUAAGUCAGAGGUGAAAGCCUGGAGCUCAACUUCAGAACUGCCUUUGAUACUGAACGUCUAGAGUCCGGGAGAGGUGAGUGGAACUGCUAGUGUAGAGGUGAAAUUCGUAGAUAUUAGCAAGAACACCAGUGGCGAAGGCGGCUACCUGGUCGAGUACUGACACUGAGACACGAAAGCAUGGGGAUCAAACAGGAUUAGAAACCCGGGUAGUCC
RNAcentral lists this ribosomal RNA (425 nucleotides) under uncultured bacterium. Its description in RNAcentral is "partial 16S ribosomal RNA". It matches the Rfam family "Bacterial small subunit ribosomal RNA", at positions 354 to 796 of the family's 1533-position model. The record is from RNAcentral.